UCGUGGUGUAAACUGUCUGCCUUAUUGCGUUAACGAGCGAGACGACCGCCCUGAUUCUCAGGGGAGCGCCAGCGCUGAGCUGGACGAACGUGGUCGCACUAGCA
This 104-nucleotide ribosomal RNA is filed under the name uncultured eukaryote. RNAcentral describes it as "partial 18S ribosomal RNA". The record is from RNAcentral.